Non-coding RNA from Arachis ipaensis, 187 nucleotides. The record is from RefSeq and is a predicted model, not a curated record. NCBI's taxonomy places the organism in Eukaryota, Viridiplantae, Streptophyta, Magnoliopsida, Fabales, Fabaceae.
AAACGAAAUUGCUCUACAUCCUAGAUGUCUGGUUAAGUCAGAAGCUGGGAAAAAGCUUCCAUAAAUUUGACGCUGCAAAGGUUAAUUUUGACAAGGCACGUGAGUGUUUCUAGAGAGCUCUUGAUGAGGUCCCAGCAUUGCACAUGGAGAUCCACAAAAAUGGGCUUGGUCAGAUGACUGGUGGUGG